RNAcentral lists this small nucleolar RNA (133 nucleotides) under Sparus aurata (gilthead seabream). The record is from RNAcentral. Lineage: Eukaryota; Metazoa; Chordata; Actinopteri; Spariformes; Sparidae.
CCGCACUGUUCGUAACCUGGUUCAGUCUUCAGUGUGAACUCUGGGUUCCAUUCCAGUGCCACAGUGAACUCCAGUGAGGCAGGGGAGCAGUGCCCUUUUGUGCUCGCUCCCUGUUCACUCUCUGGGCACACUU